GAGUCCAACCAUGGAUGCCAUUCUGCAGUGUUUUUACCGACUUGAAACUAUUAUUUGAAGAGGAAAGAAAACAUAAAGCGGGGCCUGACGAAGCGCUGAUUGCGCGAUACGGACCGUCACCCAACCCACUCCCCCACCCCUCUGUUUCCAUCCUCUCUCCCACAUGUGUUGGAACGCUACUAUGCUGUAACGAAAUAAAGAAGCACGUUGUUCGUUCAGACCGGGUGA
Hyla sarda is the source of this 228-nucleotide long non-coding RNA. RefSeq lists it as uncharacterized. The record is from RefSeq and is a predicted model, not a curated record. The transcript is spliced from 3 exons. Lineage: Eukaryota; Metazoa; Chordata; Amphibia; Anura; Hylidae.